This 248-nucleotide ribosomal RNA is filed under the name uncultured bacterium. RNAcentral's name for it is "partial small subunit ribosomal RNA". It matches the Rfam family "Bacterial small subunit ribosomal RNA", at positions 26 to 286 of the family's 1533-position model. The record is from RNAcentral.
AGGACGAACGCUGGCGGCGUGCUUAACACAUGCAAGUCGAACGAGGUGCUUGCACCUAGUGGCGAACGGGUGAGUAACACGUGAGCAACCUGCCCCUGGCUCUGGGAUAGCCUCCGGAAACGGGGAUUAAUACCGGACAUGACCUUCUUCCGCAUGGUGGAGGGUGGAAAGUUUUUUCGGCCAGGGAGGGGCUCGCGGCCUAUCAGCUUGUUGGAGGGGUAACGGCCCACCAAGGCGACGACGGGUAG